UGCCUGCCCGGUGACUCUUAGUUAAACGGCCGCGGUAUAUUGACCGUGCAAAGGUAGCAUAAUCACUUGCCUCUUAAAUAGAGGCUGGUAUGAAUGGCAAGACGGAGUUCUUGCUGUCUCUUCCCUGGUAUAUUUGAAUUUAAUUUCUUUGUGAAGAAGCGAAGAUAUAAUCGUAGGACGAGAAGACCCUGUCGAGCUUAAGCAAUGAAAUGCAGGCAUAAUAAGGUUUUUUUGCUAAUGUGCCUUUACCAAGGAAGUAUUUUUACUUAGAGAGUUGGUAUGUCAUGCGUUUUAUGUUUUGAUUGGGGCAAUCACGGAGAAAAAAUACCCUCCGUUGUAAAUUGAUAAUACUGUUAAGAGACUCUUUAAGGUGUAAGAUUUACGUAUUUGUGAUCCACAAUGAAGUGACCAAAGGAACAAGUUACCGUAGGGAUAACAGCGUAAUUUUUUUGGAGAGUUCAUAUUGAUAAAAAAGUUUGCGACCUCGAUGUUGGAUCGGGAUUUCCAGGAGAUGCAGCAGUUUCC
Molecule: ribosomal RNA, 525 nt
Filed under: Certonardoa semiregularis
Lineage: Eukaryota; Metazoa; Echinodermata; Asteroidea; Valvatida; Ophidiasteridae
Description: partial 16S ribosomal RNA
Rfam family: Bacterial large subunit ribosomal RNA
Source: RNAcentral